GGUGCCAGCAGCCGCGGUAAUUCCAGCUCCAAUAGCGUAUAUUAAAGUUGUUGCAGUUAAAAAGCUCGUAGUUGAAUUUCGGGAUUAGUGCGCUGGUCAUGCCUUUGGUAUGUACUGGUGUUACUGAUUUCUACCUUCUGAAGAACCGUUAUGUCAUUUAUUUGGUGUGGCGGGAAUCAGGACUGUUACUUUGAAAAAAUUAGUGUGUUUAAAGCAGGCUCGUGCUUGAAUACAUUAGCAUGGAAUAAUGAAAUAGGACGUUCGAUCCUAUUUUGUUGGUUUCUAGGAUUGACGUAAUGAUUAAUAGGGAUAGUUGGGGGCAUUAGUAUUCAAUUGUCAGAGGUGAAAUUCUUGGAUUUAUUGAAGACUAACUACUGCGAAAGCAUUUGCCAAGGAUGUUUUCAUUAAUCAAGAACGAAAGUUAGGGGAUCGAAGACGAUCAGAUACCGUCGUAGUCUUAACCAUAAACUAUGCCGACUAGGGAUCGGAUGAUGUUAAUUUUUUAAUGACUCAUUCGGCGCCUUACG
This 527-nucleotide ribosomal RNA is filed under the name uncultured Glomus. Its description in RNAcentral is "SSU rRNA". It matches the Rfam family "Eukaryotic small subunit ribosomal RNA", at positions 563 to 1092 of the family's 1831-position model. Lineage: Eukaryota; Fungi; Glomeromycota; Glomeromycetes; Glomerales; Glomeraceae. The record is from RNAcentral.